This is a long non-coding RNA of Lolium rigidum, 652 nucleotides long. RefSeq lists it as uncharacterized. Lineage: Eukaryota; Viridiplantae; Streptophyta; Magnoliopsida; Poales; Poaceae. The record is from RefSeq and is a predicted model, not a curated record. The transcript has 2 exons.
UCCCCUCACGUAUUCCGGCCGCCAUGGACCUGCACCCCUGUAGUCCCUCCUCUCUCUCCGGCUUGAGCAGCGGCGGAGACGGGAACCACCCUUCCGAGCCAGGGUCCGGCCGCCGCUGCCGCCAACGCGCAGCCCCCGUAUCCCCUCCUCAUCGGUCGAUUUGAAUGGCCCCUACGAACUAGGGUUCCGGCCAUCGCUGACGCCGACCACCGUGGCGCAGCUGGUCGAUCUCCGGCCAGGAUGAUCCGCGGCCAUGAAGGUUUCGGAGGGCCGCGGCCCAGCCGGUCAAGUACUGGGCCGAGGCAGACGCGGUGUCGCCGGCGGUUGCCGCGGACCGCGGGGACGAAGCUGCAGGUCCUCUGAACAACGACAACGGACUCAUGUGAACAGAAGGUUGAUGCUGAUGAAAGAAUUUGGCUGGAGCUGGAUGGAGGAAUGAUAUCAUUAACUAUUUUUGGAAGGAUCAUAAAAAAUUUGUACUCAACCAAAAUAUUCUUCUUGUAGAAUAAUGAGGCAUGUGUUUUAGCUCCGGUCCGUCGAGCAUAUAUUUAAUCGUGUGUUCAUGUAGUCUAUGAUGAGAUGUUUAAGCUCCAUGUAAAUUUAUCUUGCCAACUGAAUUUUUUCAUGGCAUCAUAUUGAUGUUUCUUUGUCU